UCGAACCCAAGAUUUUCCCUCAGCAAGAUCCCACUCCCUGUCUGGCAGCAUGUCAGGACACGCCCCCGCCGAUUGCAUCACGCCCUCUCUUCGCCGCAGCUGCAGGCGGUUAGUCAUCAGCACACCUGGCAGUAAUCAGGAGGACAGCAUAAGAACCAGUCACUCCUUGGGACCUACGCCGGAACGUCGUUAACUCUUGUAUUGCCUCUCUCAAUCCUCGAUCACUCGUUUUGGACUUGGACAUUGUUGCUUGCCGCCUGCCUUCGACCACCUGCCUGUCCCCGGAUCUCCCUUGUGCCUACCCUCUUGGUCAGACAAACUUUUCAUCCAUCACGCAUGUACAACAUCCUCUUGAAUUAUUUACAUGGUUAAUUCUACACUUAAUCCUGCAACCAACACUUAGAGUAGCAUACACAUCCCACACAAUCAUCAAAGGUUACAAUAAACCUGGUAACCUUAA
This is a long non-coding RNA of Entelurus aequoreus (snake pipefish), 460 nucleotides long. RefSeq lists it as uncharacterized. Lineage: Eukaryota; Metazoa; Chordata; Actinopteri; Syngnathiformes; Syngnathidae. The transcript has 2 exons. The record is from RefSeq and is a predicted model, not a curated record.